UACGUAGGGGGCAAGCGUUGUCCGGAAUCAUUGGGCGUAAAGAGCGUGUAGGCGGCUUGGUAAGUCCGCUGUGAAAGUCCAGGGCUCAACCCUGGAAUGCCGGUGGAAACUGUCAAGCUCGAGUCCGGAAGAGGCGAGUGGAAUUCCUGGUGUAGCGGUGAAAUGCGCAGAUAUCAGGAGGAACACCAAUGGCGAAGGCAGCUCGCCGGGACGGUACUGACGCUGAGACGCGAAAGCGUGGGGAGCAAACAGG
Molecule: ribosomal RNA, 253 nt
Filed under: uncultured bacterium
Lineage: Bacteria
Description: partial 16S ribosomal RNA
Rfam family: Bacterial small subunit ribosomal RNA
Source: RNAcentral